AAAGUUUUAACUCUGCCAGUUCCAAGAUUAGGUGCAGUCGUUCUCAAGGCAUAAUUUAUUUUUGAAAUGUUCCUUGGGUUCUGAAACUUCAGCAUGCCAAUGCUAAACUAUUCCUUGAGGGAGAACAACUCUCCCUUAAGAGUCUCCGAGGCCUAGUGUUGCUGAGCAUGACUGAUAGGCAAAACAUCGACAGCCUUAAUUUUUUCUUUUCAAAACAUGUUUAACUUCAGUAAACCUUAAGCCAAGCCUCUUGCAGAUGGCAGACAGCUUAAUUGCUGUGGUAACCUUGUCUGACGUUUUUUGGAAAACUUUGGGUGUUAUAAUAAUCCGUUGAACCCAGAGAAAAUAGAUUUCAACCCACACAAAGACAUGCAUAUGGCUCAGAAUCUCGACUCGGCUGCUGAGGUUUUGUCCAGGCGUGUUCCUUUUUUCCCUUCCUUGCCAGGCUUUCUGGUACAGCUUGCGAGUCCAGCAUGUAUUGUUUGGAUAGCAAAUCCAAAAGAGGCCCAGGAUGAAAUGAAUCAGCGUUACUGUUUCUUCCCCGACCCAUCUGUCUUCCCGGAAAGUCUGAGGUGUGGAUGCAGAAUGUUGUCAGAGUUCAUCCACGUCGAAGCGCUGGAGCACGAGCCGGCCCUUUAUCCCUUGCCAUGGCCAAGGAAUAAUCCAUCAUGUGGAGAGAUAACAUUUUAUUUCUCCAUGCAUCAGGUGAUGGACAUUUGAGUGGUUCCUACCUGACUCACUUUGUGAAAGAAUCUCUCUGAGUCCUGCGUGGAGGCCCAAAAGAGCAGAGCUGGGAGACCAGGGAGCUGCAGGAACCCCAGGGAUGAAGGUGAGAGCGGGAGGCGGUUGUCUGCAGAAGCCGUGAUGACCUACACGUUGUUGGAUCCAGCCAUUUGGCAGGUGCCUCUGUUUUGACUGUAGGGAUGGAAAUCCUUCCAAGCAUGCCGAGAGGGAAGGUAACAUGGCAGAUGCACUGGCUUUGACAUUGCCGUGGUGGUUGCAAUCCUGCAUCUGUCUCUUCCUGAUGGGGUGACCUGAGGCAAGUUGCUUGGCCUCCCUGAAUCUGUUUUGUAGUGUGCAAGAUGAGGACAAUAUUGCCUUGGGGGUGACUUCAAGGACUGAGAAAGGUAUUUUUUUUUCUUGUUUGAGACAAAGAUCUUGCUCUGUCACUGCAGCCUCAACCUCCUGGGCUCAAGCAGUCCUCUCACUUCAGCCUCCUGAGAAGCUGAAACCACAGGCAUGAACACCAUGCCUGGCUAAUUUUUCAAUUUUUUUUGUAGAGACAGAGUCUCACGGUAUUACCCAGGCUAGAGGGAGAUAAACUCUAAGCUUAGUACAGUACCUGGCUUAUAUGAAGAAAUCGGAAAUCAGUGAUAUUUACUUUAUAUGUUCAUAGUUCCUAACACGGGUAUUUAGUUGGUCUCCCUUUUGCCACAUCUUCUAACUGUCCAGAUCUCCUACUUGUCUCCCUCUCCCUCCAUGAACCCUCCUUAGGCUCCCCCUCAAUGAUUUCCAUCUCCUCUGUUGUCAGUUUGCCCCAUUCCAUAGCACUCCAAUGAGCUCUCCAUAUUCCUCCAGCAGGACUCUGUGAGCGUUUCUUGUGCAUUAACAUUGUCUCAUUAAGAGUGGGGAGGUGGCCUCAGAAGUGGUUCAGUGGUAGUUUAAGAUGCUGGGUAAGAGCACAGAUUCUGCAACAACACUGCUGGGUUCAAAUCCUGACUGGGCUGCUUAACACCAAUACAAUUUAGUUUCCUUAUCUGUGAAAUGGGUUCAAUAGCAGUUUCUCUCUCAUAGAGCUGUGAAAAAGGAUUAAGUGAGAUCCAUUUAGGCCCAUGCCCGAACUUAUGUGUGCCGUGUGUUAGCUAUUAUUACUUCCACCUGUGUAAUUUUGGUAAGUUAGCUUAUCUUUGUGAACCUCAGUUUUCUCAUCAGCAAACCAAUAGUCAUAAAAUGUAAUCCUCUGGGCUGUGGAAUUAGACGAAGUGCUCAACAGGUGGGCAUAGUGCUGGGUGCAUGGUAAAUAGUCAGUCCUGGGGGUGGUUGUUUUUGUCAGCUCCUGGGGACAGGAGCCCUGCCUUGGUCAAGUUGGGAAUAUAUUUUCCAGAGUCUCCUUUUUGGGGAGUCCUGAUAGGACUUGGUCCAUUUAACAAACAAAAUAACGAAACUAGUUAAAGUCGAACUGCAGAUCAAUCAUAGCUAAUACUUUCUCAGUAUAAACAUAUCCCACAUAUUACAUGGGACAUACUUAUGCCUAAAAAAUUAUCCACUGUGGAUCCACAAUUCAAAUGUAGUGGGACAUCUGUAUUUUAUAUGACAAAUCCGCAAGAGGAGCUAGUGUGAGUCUCAGAAGAUCAAUGGAUGGAGGGAGAGGUCCUCUGAGUCCCAGCAUGUCUUCUUUCUCCUCUGCUCUCCUGCGGUGGCUCCCUUGGGGUCCUGGCUCCAAAGGUGGACAUGCUGGGCUUGUUGAAUCCCGGCCUGUUCUGUGCAAAUCUCCUCAACAAUUGUCCAGAGUCUGCCCCCUCUCAGCAACCCCACAGCUAUUGCCCUGGUCCUACGUCACUCUGGGUGCCAUCCGCCAUCUGUGUUCUCUACACAGCACCCAGAGAGAUCCCUUUAAAGGUGACAGUGCUGGUCAGGCGUGAUGGCUCAUCCAUGUAAUCCCAGCAGUCUGGGAGACUGAGGCAGGCAGAUCAGCUGAAGUCAGAAGUUUGAGACCAGCCUGGCCAACAUGGUGAAACCCCAUCUCUACUAAAAAUGCAAAAGUUAACUGGGCAUGGUGGCGUGUAGCUGUGGUCCCAGCUACUUGGGAAGCAGGGGAAUCGCUUGAACCCAGGGGUCAGAGAUUGCAGUGAGCUGAGAUCGCGCCACUGCACUCCAGCCUGGGUGACAGACUCUGUCUCAAAAGAAAAAAAAAAAAACUAAGUGCAGAAGUUAAUGCCUUUCCAAAUCCUAUAGCUGCUGAGUGUAAGCAGAAGCUCACCUUUUCCCCUUUCUUCUCAAACGGGGCUUGAGAAGAUGGGCCGUGGCUGGCCUCGGCCUCACAUGGGCUUCUGUGGGCCAAGGCCUUGGCGUUCCUCCAGCCCGGGCUAGAACUGCCUCCUACGGAGGAAUGACAUCCAGGCCUUCACCCUCCAGGUCAGCUGUGGCGCCAGCCGAGGUGACCGCGUGGGCAGCAGCUCACAUUCCUUCUCUGCUUUUGGCCCCAUGUCCCCGGCACUCAGGUCUGGAGUUCAGUCCAAGUGUUGAGACACAGGUGUGCAGCUCAGUGUGGCCUUAAUUAACCCUCCCGUGGCCUGGGCUCCGCCUGCGCCUCAUUAACUCUGGGCUCCUGGUUGUGUUCCUGACGCUGCAGCCUGACACUGCAGGCGGGCGAGCAGUUUGCGAUGGAAGGCCACCUUCUGAUCAGAGGAAGCCUUGACCUGAGGAGGCGCCUGCCUUUUCGCUGGGCUUGCCUUUCUCUGGACAGCUUUUGCUCAGCAUUUCAGGGCGGCUGAUUCCCCUGGGACUGAAUCCAUGCCCGUCAUGAUGGUGCCCUGGCAGCUUCACAGUUUUUCCAUGUUUGCAAGCCGUUCUUUGGUGGGAAAAAAAGAUGAUUUUUCCUCUCCCUACUCCCAUUCCCUUUUCUUAGUUUCCCUGAACUACAUUUUGAGCUAAGCGAAGGUCUUGGGUUGGCCUUUAGAGGGAGUAAAUCCUCUGAGAGCAUCAGGUACCCGAGAGGCAGAAAUGAGGGUGUCAGGCCCCGGGGAGCAUGUGCCACUGGCUUGCCUCCCGCUGGGAAGUAUUUCUGUACCUUUGGCCCAUGAACUAUGUUUGCUUCUCAGCUAGCUCUAAAUGAGUAUUUAGGGCUUUAUCUAUCUCCCAUACGCAUGAUUGUCUGGGAUGUAGGACGGCAGCCCUGGGUGGGGUCCUGGCUCACCUGCUCUCCAGCUGGGUGACUGGACCUCACUGCCACCCAACACUCACCCAGCCCCUUUCCCGGGGCCCCGGGAGUGGGGACAUGGGUAGGAGAGUGAGCAUGCAGAUGUCCGGGAAGCAGUUUCGGAAGGCACACGGUUUGUCCUUGCCAUCUCUUUGAUUUGACUUACUUUUGGCGUGAAUUUCCAAGACGUCUCAUCAACCACUUCUGACAAAUGAGGAAGUGGAGGCUGACUCAUGGUUCCCCAGCACUGGGAGCAAGAACAGGGUGGACAUCCAAGUCUCCCGGAUUCCCAGCUCCGUGCUUCGUGCCCGUUACAUAUUUGGGACAAAAAGCCACCUGCCUGUGGGAUUAACAACAGUCGAGGUUAUGAUUGACACCGUCCCUUAGUGAGUGCCCAGGUCUGGCCAGGCUGUCUCACCUUGAAUCCUUUCAGCCCAUUCCGUGGACCGGUCAGGUGAAGUGUGGCUCACGGGCCGCUGGCUGCUUUCCAGGGUGCAGUUGCCGAGAGCGGGUAUGGGGCUUUCCCGAGCCACAGCCUCCAUGGCGUGUGCUGGAGGAACCCCCGCAUGGAACCCAAGGGCGCCAGAGGCAGAGUUGGAGCUGCGGUAUUGGUGAUCCUGGGGAGGGGUGUCGGGGCUGGGUGCCUGCUGGGAGAGAGGAAAGAACUGGAGCCACCAGGAAGACCAGCCAACUGUGGGAGUCAGAGGCUGUACGCGUGAGAGGGCUUGAGGACCUCUCAUAGUGCUCUCUGAAGCAGGGGAAGAGAGGGCCAGCCAGGAGGCCCUCAUGGUCCUCUCCACCAUCCUGCAAUCUUUGCUUUUCUCCAAAUGGGCGGGCUCCCCACAGCUGGCCAGCCCGCUGUGGUGUAGACUGUUUCUCUUGUUUGAGCUCCGCAUGAGAGACACUCAACAGAUGCCGAGAGGCAAGUCGGAAGAGCCAAGAGCCAGAAACAAGUCGGGGCCACUGCUGUUGCCCAACACACGGUUGUCCCCAGCUCCACCCCAGAACAGCCCAAAUUCCCCAGAUUGCUGUGGAGAGAGUCAGCCUGUGCGAAGAGGGAUUGAGCAAUGCCG
Non-coding RNA from Callithrix jacchus (white-tufted-ear marmoset), 4992 nucleotides. Lineage: Eukaryota; Metazoa; Chordata; Mammalia; Primates; Cebidae. The record is from RefSeq and is a predicted model, not a curated record.